GCCGGCCAGCACGGUGAUAGCCGUGGCGCCCAUCGCCACCCAAUAGGGCGGGGUGAGAUCCGCGGGCCGCAGCGGGUAGAGCAGCAGGCGGGCGACGACCAGGCUGCCGACAGCGACGUACAGAAACACGCCUACUGACCAACUAAUCGCGUGCCGAGCACGUCGGACGCAGCGACAAAGGUGAACAUCCCAAAUCCCCGGCGCGGAUCAGCUAGGUCGUCGGCGAAUUCUUUGCGGAAGAUGACGAUUCGUGUCGUGCUCACCGCGAUCAAGACAGCAUAGGCGGUGCAGGUCACCCACAGCAGGACGACGGAAAGGGCAUACGUCCACCCGCACAGGCGGGUGACGACAGGGCCGAAAGUCGUGUCUCGCAUCGAAAUCGACGCCAGCGCGGACUUGUUCGACGAGUAGACGUGUCGCUAACGUCGAUCUCGAUGGGCAGUCCUGUCCGCUCGCCGAAGACGCACUCCCGUCACCACCCGCGCCGCCGCGGCCGCGUUAGCACCAGCUCCUCGCGGCUGCGGUAGAUGAUGUACGGGCGGAACAGAUAGCCGAUCGGGGCGCUGAACGCGUGUACCAGCCGGGUGAACGGCCACAACGCGAACAACGCCAACCCGAUCAGCACAUGGAUCUGGUAAUACAGCGGAGCCUCGGCCAUCAGGUCCCCGCGCGGUUGCAGUACCCACACCGAGCGGAACCACACCGACACCGUCUCGCGGUAGUUGUACGCCUCGCCGACAACGCCGGAGCCCAACGCCGUCGCACCCAGUCCCGCGACGAUCGCCGCCACCAGCACGAGGUACAUCACCUUGUCGUUGACGGUGGUAGCCAUGAACACCGGCCCGCGGGUGCGCCGCCGGUAGAUCAGCAGGGUAACGCCGGCCAAGGUGGUGAUGCCGGCGAUCGACCCCAGCACGACGGCCUGCACGUGAUAUGCGCCCUCGCUCAAACCGGCGGCCUGAGUCCACGACUGCGGGAUCACGAGCCCGAUACCGUGGCCGACGAUGACCACCAGGAUGCCGAAAUGAAACAUCGGGCUGGCGAUCCGCAGCAGCCGCGACUCGUACAGCUGGGACGAGCGGGUGGUCCAGCCGAAUUUGUCAUAGCGGUAGCGCCACCAGGAGCCGACCGCGACGAUCGUCAUCGUCACAUACGGCACGACGGUCCAGAAGAGUUCGCCCAUCAUGUCACCCGUCCGGCAUACCGCGGCCACCGUGUGUGCGUAUGGCAAUGCGGCCUCGGUCAGGGCAUUGCACAGCGCGGCGAUGGGCACCCGGUACCCGCUCAGCAACCGUCGCCCCGCCUCGGGGUCGACGGUCGCGGCGAAUUCGAGCACCACCGGCAGGAAGUCCGGGGUCUCGCCGCGCGGUGGUGCGACGUCGGUGCUGCGGUAGGUCUGGGCGAAGGCCAGCAUCUCCCGGCCGCGGUUGCGGGUGUCGCCGGCGGUCCAGUAGGUCAGGUACAGGGUGGCGCGGCCUCGCAGGUCGAAGGUGUCGACGUAGCGGGUCGCCGCGGUCAGCGGAUCGGCACGGCGCAGCUCAGAGACCGUGCGCCCCAACAGAUCCGCGGCCGGACCGUCGAUGUGGGCCAGCAAUUCCUCUGCGGUGCCGAGUUGCCGUGAGUUCGGGUAGGUCAGCAGCACCGAGGCGCAUUGCCACACCACGUCCCACCAAUCUCCGGACUCCGGCACGUCGGUCUGGUCGCCGAACACCUGCGGGGAGGCCACCGGCAGGUCGGCGUACCAGUCGUAGAACGACGUCAUCACCCCGCCGAUUAGCUCCACGAACCGCGACCCCGCGGCGUGGCUCACCAUGGACAUCGCCGGGAUGGGGGAGAAGCCGGCAACCCGGUUAAGAGGACCCGUUAACCCGCAAGGGUGAAGCGGAGAAUUUAAGCCCCAGUAAACGGCGGUGGUAACUAUAACCAUCCUAAGGUAGCGAAAUUCCUUGUCGGGUAAGUUCCGACCUGCACGAAUGGCGUAACGACUUCUCAACUGUCUCAACCAUAGACUCGGCGAAAUUGCACUACGAGUAAAGAUGCUCGUUACGCGCGGCAGGACGAAAAGACCCCGGGACCUUCACUACAACUUGGUAUUGAUGUUCGGUACGGUUUGUGUAGGAUAGGUGGGAGACUGUGAAACCUCGACGCCAGUUGGGGCGGAGUCGUUGUUGAAAUACCACUCUGAUCGUAUUGGGCAUCUAACCUCGAACCCUGAAUCGGGUUUAGGGACAGUGCCUGGCGGGUAGUUUAACUGGGGCGGUUGCCUCCUAAAAUGUAACGGAGGCGCCCAAAGGUUCCCUCAACCUGGACGGCAAUCAGGUGGCGAGUGUAAAUGCACAAGGGAGCUUGACUGCGAGACUUACAAGUCAAGCAGGGACGAAAGUCGGGAUUAGUGAUCCGGCACCCCCGAGUGGAAGGGGUGUCGCUCAACGGAUAAAAGGUACCCCGGGGAUAACAGGCUGAUCUUCCCCAAGAGUCCAUAUCGACGGGAUGGUUUGGCACCUCGAUGUCGGCUCGUCGCAUCCUGGGGCUGGAGCAGGUCCCAAGGGUUGGGCUGUUCGCCCAUUAAAGCGGCACGCGAGCUGGGUUUAGAACGUCGUGAGACAGUUCGGUCUCUAUCCGCCGCGCGCGUCAGAAACUUGAGGAAACCUGUCCCUAGUACGAGAGGACCGGGACGGACGAACCUCUGGUGCACCAGUUGUCCCGCCAGGGGCACCGCUGGAUAGCCACGUUCGGUCAGGAUAACCGCUGAAAGCAUCUAAGCGGGAAACCUUCUCCAAGAUCAGGUUUCUCACCCACUUGGUGGGAUAAGGCCCCCCGCAGAACACGGGUUCAAUAGGUCAGACCUGGAAGCUCAGUAAUGGGUGUAGGGAACUGGUGCUAACCGGCCGAAAACUUACAACA
Molecule: ribosomal RNA, 2904 nt
Filed under: Mycobacterium tuberculosis
Lineage: Bacteria; Bacillati; Actinomycetota; Actinomycetes; Mycobacteriales; Mycobacteriaceae
Description: bacterial LSU rRNA
Rfam family: Bacterial large subunit ribosomal RNA (bases 1580-2904)
Source: RNAcentral